UUGACACCAAAGUCCUCUUUUUCUCACCGAAUAGGUACAGCACAGGCAGCUGCUGUGCAGACUUCCUCACCAAUGUGUCUUUACCCUGAUCUGCUGGGAGAGGUUGGGUGGAGUCCUUUUGACGCUUUCAAACCUUAUGCCUCU
This 144-nucleotide small RNA is filed under the name Chelonoidis abingdonii (Abingdon island giant tortoise). RNAcentral's name for it is "TUC338 (ENSCABG00000016423.1)". Lineage: Eukaryota; Metazoa; Chordata; Testudines; Testudinidae. The record is from RNAcentral.